CUCUUCCUUUCCUGCAUUAAGCAAAUGAUGCUCCGAUGCUUCUAGGUCUCUCCACCACUGCAAAAUGCUCAGAGAAGUGGAGGGAGUGAAAAGGAAGUUGCCUACUACUCUUAAGGAUACUGGAAAGUCGCCUUCAAAUCUAAAGUGAAGACUUGGGGGCGGGGGAUGCCCCCUUCCUGAAGAGGGAAUGAGGGUCCCUCCCCUAAAAACGAGCCUCUGUUCGGGUGAAGGCGAUCCCCACCCUGAAAGAGAGGCGUGUAUGUGGAAAGGUGGUGGAACGUUGUACCCUGAAGAGGAGCCUGGAUUUGAAGAAGUGUCCCAACUCUGAAGGGGGAGACGGAAUUUCACUCUGUCACCCAGGCUAGAGUAGAGUGGAGUGAUCUCAGCUUACUGCAACCUCUGCCUCCCGGGUUCAAGCGAUUCUCCUGCCUCAGUGUCCCAAAUAGCUGGGACUACAGUGCCCUCUCUAGCCUUGGGAGUCCUAAUGAGCUAUAAUCACAGAGACGCCAGACUAGUCAAAAUUGGAAGAAAGAGCUAUAAUCACAGGAAAAGAACUCUCUCCGCAAUUUGAAGUAUCCCAGAAAAAGCAGCAGCAAUGAGGACAGACUUCAAGACAAGCAGAGAGGAGCAGCCAUGGCGGGGCCUGCAGUGGCUACAGGGGGCCUCUAUAGCGUGAAAUGACAUCAGAAAAGGACCUGAGUAGCCCAAGAAAGGGAGGACGGAAAGUCAAGGAGGAAAGUAAGCAGGAGUUGAAUUUAGGAGUAAAUGCUACGGUGAUUAUGACUCACAGCCUCAUGGUCCUCAAGGCUGGAGUGGCCUUGGAGAAACCAGGUCAUAGUUGUAUAACCAAGGUACUCUGCAGGAUGGACCAUGGAGCCGCCUCCUGCAGCCACAGGUGAUCAAAAUGAGGUCUGUGUGACGGAGCCUGCAGCGAGGCAAGACAGCUGCCUCAAACAAGUCCAUAUUUCAUCUCUCCUCCUAACCUCCUGCCUGCCAAAGCUCUGGCAGGGAAGUCGUUACAACAAAGCAUGCAUGCACCCUAAUUACCUGUCAUACUUCUCUGUUGCUGGACCAGACCCUAUAAGAGAAUUCCAAAGAAUUUAUUUUUAUGGGAACAAAAUGCAGUAAUUGAUGUUGCAAUCCUGCCCAAAUCACUGAACAGAUCCUUUAACAUCCAAAUUCCCUAAAACAGCUUUGACUUUACUACACACUUCACAUGCCAGCUAGUGUUUGAAGUGCGUGUAGCCGCCCCCAUGAAGCCCUUUCUUACUGUAAGUGCUCAAGAACAAAGAUAUUUCUUAAACUUCCUUUGAUUCUCAUAAAAUAAAAAUAGCCAUUACAUAAUAAAGCACAAAGCUCCAUGGGUUAAGAAGUC
Pan troglodytes (chimpanzee) is the source of this 1375-nucleotide long non-coding RNA. RefSeq lists it as uncharacterized. The transcript is spliced from 3 exons. The record is from RefSeq and is a predicted model, not a curated record. NCBI's taxonomy places the organism in Eukaryota, Metazoa, Chordata, Mammalia, Primates, Hominidae.